RNAcentral lists this ribosomal RNA (279 nucleotides) under uncultured Staphylococcus sp. RNAcentral's name for it is "partial 16S ribosomal RNA". It matches the Rfam family "Bacterial small subunit ribosomal RNA", at positions 83 to 355 of the family's 1533-position model. The record is from RNAcentral. Lineage: Bacteria; Bacillati; Bacillota; Bacilli; Caryophanales; Staphylococcaceae.
CCUUUGACGUUAGCGGCGGACGGGUGAGUAACACGUGGGUAACCUACCUAUAAGACUGGGAUAACUUCGGGAAACCGGAGCUAAUACCGGAUAAUAUUUCGAACCGCAUGGUUCGAUAGUGAAAGAUGGUUUUGCUAUCACUUAUAGAUGGACCCGCGCCGUAUUAGCUAGUUGGUAAGGUAACGGCUUACCAAGGCGACGAUACGUCGCCGACCUGAGAGGGUGAUCGGCCACACUGGAACUGAGACACGGUCCAGACUCCUACGGGAGGCAGCAGCC